GUGCGCGUGGUCACGCCGUUGGCCAUGCUUCCUUGCUGGCCUUUUCAUGUUUUGUGCAUCCGAAUGCCGGGCUAAGCUGAGCUGCAAACUCUUCCUACUUUACGAUCGGGCUUGCGUGCCUGCGACUAAAGAUCAGACCGAACCCAAUGCGUUACAUGACUUAGCACCACCUCCCCCAUGAUACCGCGCAACGUUCGGAAACGUGUGGGCGUUCCUCGUUUUUCUUUUUCUGCAGUUGAUGGCCUUCUCGAGUCGUGCGCGAUGGUGUGCCGACGACGUUGCCGGAGAGGGUGAGUGUGUGCUUGUGUGCAUCCUUCUUCUCCCAUCGCAUGCCACUGAGUUCAGUCUCUUCCACAGACCAAAAUGGGCGGUGUUUAGCCGCAAAAAAAAGUCUGAAGGAAACACUGCCGCACCCAUCCAGGAGCACAGAAGAAGCAUGCGCGGGCACCACCAAAGAAAAGCUCGUGUGAGGACCUCCCAUCCCUCCAUGCGCCCUGCUCGACG
Molecule: unclassified non-coding RNA, 504 nt
Filed under: Leishmania donovani
Lineage: Eukaryota; Euglenozoa; Kinetoplastea; Trypanosomatida; Trypanosomatidae
Description: gene:unknown
Source: RNAcentral